CAUCGUGCGAUGGGGCGAAUAGUUGAUGAACAGGAAGCCGCGUUCCUGGUCGAUCAGGUGGAACAGCGGGUUCCACGCGAACCACGGCAGGAUGAAGCUGGGAAUCAUGUUGGCAACGAAGAACUUGCCCGACGCGAACAUGUUCACGCGCUG
RNAcentral lists this non-coding RNA (153 nucleotides) under Paracoccus sp. 228. RNAcentral describes it as "Ruegeria cis2 sRNA". It matches the Rfam family "Ruegeria cis2 sRNA". Rfam says of the family: Cis-encoded. Lineage: Bacteria; Pseudomonadati; Pseudomonadota; Alphaproteobacteria; Rhodobacterales; Paracoccaceae. The record is from Rfam by way of RNAcentral.